UCUCCGUCGGUGAACCAGCGGAGGGAUCAUUACAGAGUUGCAAAACUCCCAAACCAUUGUGAACGUUACCUAUCCCGUUGCUUCGGCGGGCGGCCCGGGCCCCGCGCCCGGCGCCCCCCGGCCCCCCGUGGGCGCCCGCCGGAGGUAAACCAAACCCUUGAAUUGCAUGGCCUCUCUGAGUCUUCUGUACUGAAUAAGUCAAAACUUUCAACAACGGAUCUCUUGGUUCUG
RNAcentral lists this unclassified non-coding RNA (231 nucleotides) under plant metagenome. Its description in RNAcentral is "partial contains small subunit ribosomal RNA, internal transcribed spacer 1, and 5.8S ribosomal RNA". The record is from RNAcentral.